RNAcentral lists this ribosomal RNA (1670 nucleotides) under Salmonella enterica. Its description in RNAcentral is "partial 23S ribosomal RNA". It matches the Rfam family "Bacterial large subunit ribosomal RNA", at positions 107 to 1735 of the family's 2925-position model. The record is from RNAcentral. Lineage: Bacteria; Pseudomonadati; Pseudomonadota; Gammaproteobacteria; Enterobacterales; Enterobacteriaceae.
GCGAUACCCGAAUGGGGAAACCCAGUGUGACUCGUCACACUAUCAUUAACUGAAUCCAUAGGUUAAUGAGGCGAACCGGGGGAACUGAAACAUCUAAGUACCCCGAGGAAAAGAAAUCAACCGAGAUUCCCCCAGUAGCGGCGAGCGAACGGGGAGGAGCCCAGAGCCUGAAUCAGCAUGUGUGUUAGUGGAAGCGUCUGGAAAGGCGCGCGAUACAGGGUGACAGCCCCGUACACAAAAGCGCAUGUGCUGUGAGCUCGAUGAGUAGGGCGGGACACGUGGUAUCCUGUCUGAAUAUGGGGGGACCAUCCUCCAAGGCUAAAUACUCCUGACUGACCGAUAGUGAACCAGUACCGUGAGGGAAAGGCGAAAAGAACCCCGGCGAGGGGAGUGAAAAAGAACCUGAAACCGUGUACGUACAAGCAGUGGGAGCACAGGUUUACCUGUGUGACUGCGUACCUUUUGUAUAAUGGGUCAGCGACUUAUAUUCUGUAGCAAGGUUAACCGAAUAGGGGAGCCGGAGGGAAACCGAGUCUUAAUUGGGCGUUAAGUUGCAGGGUAUAGACCCGAAACCCGGUGAUCUAGCCAUGGGCAGGUUGAAGGUUGGGUAACACUAACUGGAGGACCGAACCGACUAAUGUUGAAAAAUUAGCGGAUGACCUGUGGCUGGGGGUGAAAGGCCAAUCAAACCGGGAGAUAGCUGGUUCUCCCCGAAAGCUAUUUAGGUAGCGCCUCGUGAAUUCAUCUCCGGGGGUAGAGCACUGUUUCGGCUAGGGGGCCAUCCCGGCUUACCAACCCGAUGCAAACUGCGAAUACCGGAGAAUGUUAUCACGGGAGACACACGGCGGGUGCUAACGUCCGUCGUGAAGAGGGAAACAACCCAGACCGCCAGCUAAGGUCCCAAAGUCAUGGUUAAGUGGGAAACGAUGUGGGAAGGCCCAGACAGCCAGGAUGUUGGCUUAGAAGCAGCCAUCAUUUAAAGAAAGCGUAAUAGCUCACUGGUCGAGUCGGCCUGCGCGGAAGAUGUAACGGGGCUAAACCAUGCACCGAAGCUGCGGCAGCGAACGUAUCACUUAAAGCGAUUCAGCGGGUUACGAUUGACGGAGCGAAGCGACGUCAAAGCGUAUACAAAGUCGAGUCGGUUUAAGGAUACGUUCGUUGGGUAGGGGAGCGUUCUGUAAGCCUGUGAAGGUGUGUCGUGAGGCAUGCUGGAGGUAUCAGAAGUGCGAAUGCUGACAUAAGUAACGAUAAAGCGGGUGAAAAGCCCGCUCGCCGGAAGACCAAGGGUUCCUGUCCAACGUUAAUCGGGGCAGGGUGAGUCGACCCCUAAGGCGAGGCCGAAAGGCGUAGUCGAUGGGAAACGGGUUAAUAUUCCCGUACUUGGUGUUACUGCGAAGGGGGGACGGAGAAGGCUAUGUUGGCCGGGCGACGGUUGUCCCGGUUUAAGCGUGUAGGUGUGUGUUCCAGGUAAAUCCGGUUCACUUUAACACUGAGGCGUGACGACGAGGCACUACGGUGCUGAAGCAACAAAUGCCCUGCUUCCAGGAAAAGCCUCUAAGCAUCAGGUAACAUCAAAUCGUACCCCAAACCGACACAGGUGGUCAGGUAGAGAAUACCAAGGCGCUUGAGAGAACUCGGGUGAAGGAACUAGGCAAAAUGGUGCCGUAACU